GACGAACGCUGGCGGCGUGCUUAACACAUGCCAGUCGAACGGAAAGGCCCUGCUUUUGUGGGGUGCUCGAGUGGCGAACGGGUGAGUAACACGUGAGUAACCUGCCCUUGACUUUGGGAUAACUUCAGGAAACUGGGGCGAAUACCGGAUAGGAUCUCCUGCUGCAUGGUGGGGGUUGGAAAGUUUCGGCGGUUGGGGAUGGACUCGCGGCUUAUCAGCUUGUUGGUGAGGUAGUGGCUUACCAAGGCUUUGACGGGUAGCCGGCCUGAGAGGGUGACCGGCCACAUUGGGACUGAGAUACGGACCAGACUCCUACGGGAGGCAACAGUGGGGAAUAUUGCACAAUGGGCGGACGCCUGAGGCAGCAACGCCGCGUGCGGGAUGACGGCCUUCGGGUUGUAAACCGCUUUCGCCUGUGACGAAGCGUGAGUGACGGUAAUGGGUAAAGAAGCACCGGCUAACUACGUG
RNAcentral lists this ribosomal RNA (468 nucleotides) under uncultured bacterium. RNAcentral describes it as "partial 16S ribosomal RNA". It matches the Rfam family "Bacterial small subunit ribosomal RNA", at positions 28 to 507 of the family's 1533-position model. The record is from RNAcentral.